RNAcentral lists this ribosomal RNA (253 nucleotides) under uncultured bacterium. RNAcentral's name for it is "partial 16S ribosomal RNA". It matches the Rfam family "Bacterial small subunit ribosomal RNA", at positions 524 to 776 of the family's 1533-position model. The record is from RNAcentral.
UACAGAGGUCUCAAGCGUUGUUCGGAUUCAUUGGGCGUAAAGGGUGCGUAGGCGGCGCGGUAAGUCGGGUGUGAAAUCUCGGAGCUUAACUCCGAAACUGCAUUCGAUACUGCCGUGCUUGAGGACUGGAGAGGAGACUGGAAUUUACGGUGUAGCGGUGAAAUGCGUAGAUAUCGUAAGGAAGACCAGUGGCGAAGGCGGGUCUCUGGACAGUUCCUGACGCUGAGGCACGAAGGCCAGGGGAGCAAGCGGG